This 506-nucleotide ribosomal RNA is filed under the name uncultured bacterium. RNAcentral describes it as "bacterial SSU rRNA". It matches the Rfam family "Bacterial small subunit ribosomal RNA", at positions 29 to 526 of the family's 1533-position model. The record is from RNAcentral.
AACGAACGCUGGCGGCGUGUUUAAGACAUGCAAGUCGCACGGGACAACCUGGUAGCAAUACUUCGGUUGUCCAGUGGCGCACGGGUGAGUAACACGUGAAUCACAUGCCCUUGAGAGGGGGAUAGCCCAGGGAAACUUGGAUUAAUACCCCAUGGUCUCGCAAGAGUAAACGGUGGCCGCAAGGCUGUCGCUCAAGGAUUGGUUCGCGCCCUAUCAGCUUGUUGGCGGGGUAACGGCCCACCAAGGCUACGACGGGUACCUGGUUUGAGAGGACGAUCAGGCACACUGGAACUGAGACACGGUCCAGACACCUACGGGUGGCAGCAGUCGAGAAUAAUUCACAAUGGGGGCAACCCUGAUGGUGCAACGCCGCGUGGAGGAUGACGGUCUUCGGAUUGUAAACUCCUGUCAUCCGGGAGCAAGACCUGGCUGUGAAUAGCAGACAGGGUUGAUAGUACCGGAAGAGGAAGGGACGGCUAACUUCGUGCCAGCAGCCGCAGUAACAC